AACGAACGCUGGCGGCGUGCCUAACACAUGCAAGUCGAACGAGAUCUUCGGGUCUAGUGGCGCACGGGUGCGUAACGCGUGGGAAUCUGCCCUUUGGUUCGGAAUAACAGUUGGAAACGACUGCUAAUACCGGAUGAUGACGAAAGUCCAAAGAUUUAUCGCCAGAGGAUGAGCCCGCGUAGGAUUAGCUAGUUGGUGUGGUAAAGGCGCACCAAGGCGACGAUCCUUAGCUGGUCUGAGUGGAUGAUCAGCCACACUGGGACUGAGACACGGCCCAGACUCCUACGUGAUGCAGCAGUGGGGAAUAUUGGACAAUGGUCGAAAGCCUGAACCAGCAAUGCCACGUGAGUGAUGAAGGCCUUAGGGUUGUAAAGCUCUUUUACCCGGGAUGAUAAUGACAGUACCGGGAGAAUAAGCUCCGGCUAACUCCGUGCCAGCCGCCGCGGUAA
Molecule: ribosomal RNA, 449 nt
Filed under: uncultured bacterium
Lineage: Bacteria
Description: partial 16S ribosomal RNA
Rfam family: Bacterial small subunit ribosomal RNA
Source: RNAcentral